This 74-nucleotide transfer RNA is filed under the name Actinomycetota bacterium. RNAcentral's name for it is "tRNA-Ala". It matches the Rfam family "tRNA". Rfam says of the family: Transfer RNA (tRNA) molecules are approximately 80 nucleotides in length. Their secondary structure includes four short double-helical elements and three loops (D, anti-codon, and T loops). Lineage: Bacteria; Bacillati; Actinomycetota. The record is from RNAcentral.
GCCCUCGUAGCUCAGCGGAUAGAGCGGUCCUCUAGCGAAGUGACAGGUCCCGGGUUCGAUUCCCGGCGAGGGCA